GACGGAAGGUGCAAGCGUUGCUCGGAAUCACUGGGCGUAAAGGGUGCGUAGGCGGCCGCGCAAGUCUGGCGUGAAAGCCCCGGGCUCAGCCCGGGAAGGGCGCUCGAAACGGCGCGGCUCGAGUGCCGGAGGGGAGAGUGGAAUUCCUGGUGUAGCGGUGAAAUGCGUAGAGAUCGGGAAGAACACCAACGGCGAAAGCACUCUGCUGGGCCGAAACUGACACUGAGAGACGAAAGCUAGGGGAGCAAAUGGG
RNAcentral lists this ribosomal RNA (253 nucleotides) under uncultured bacterium. Its description in RNAcentral is "partial 16S ribosomal RNA". It matches the Rfam family "Bacterial small subunit ribosomal RNA", at positions 524 to 776 of the family's 1533-position model. The record is from RNAcentral.